AUUGAACGCUGGCGGCAUGCCUUACACAUGCAAGUCGAACGGUAACAGGUUAAGCUGACGAGUGGCGAACGGGUGAGUCAUGUAUCGGAACGUGCCCAGUCGUGGGGGAUAACUGCUCGAAAGAGCAGCUAAUACCGCAUACGACCUGAGGGUGAAAGCGGGGGAUCGCAAGACCUCGCGCGAUUGGAGCGGCCGAUAUCAGAUUAGGUAGUUGGUGAGGUAAAGGCUCACUAAGCCGACGAACUGUAGCUGGUCUGAGAGGACGACCAGCCACACUGGGACUGAGACACGGCCCAGACUCCUACGGGAGGCAGCAGUGGGGAAUUGUGGACAAUGGGCGGAAGCCUGUUCCAGCCAUGCCGCGUGCGGGAAGAAGGCCUUCGGGUUGUAAACCGCUUUUGUCAGGGAAGAAAAGGUUCUGGCUAAUACCUGGGACUCAUGACGGUACCUGAAGAAUAAGCAACGGCUAACUACGUG
Molecule: ribosomal RNA, 477 nt
Filed under: uncultured bacterium
Lineage: Bacteria
Description: partial 16S ribosomal RNA
Rfam family: Bacterial small subunit ribosomal RNA
Source: RNAcentral